GUUUGACCUCAAAUCAGGUAGGAGUACCCGCUGAACUUAAGCAUAUCAAUAAGCGGAGGAAAAGAAACCAACCGGGAUUGCCUUAGUAACGGCGAGUGAAGCGGCAAAAGCUCAAAUUUGAAAUCUGGUACCUUCGGUGCCCGAGUUGUAAUUUGGAGAGGGCAACUUUGGGGCCGUUCCUUGUCUAUGUUCCUUGGAACAGGACGUCAUAGAGGGUGAGAAUCCCGUGUGGCGAGGAGUGCGGUUCUUUGUAAAGUGCCUUCGAAGAGUCGAGUUGUUUGGGAAUGCAGCUCUAAGUGGGUGGUAAAUUCCAUCUAAAGCUAAAUAUUGGCGAGAGACCGAUAGCGAACAAGUACAGUGAUGGAAAGAUGAAAAGAACUUUGAAAAGAGAGUGAAAAAGUACGUGAAAUUGUUGAAAGGGAAGGGCAUUUGAUCAGACAUGGUGUUUUGUGCCCUCUGCUCCUUGUGGGUAGGGGAAUCUCGCAUUUCACUGGGCCAGCAUCAGUUUUGGUGGCAGGAUAAAUCCAUAGGAAUGUAGCUUGCCUCGGUAAGUAUUAUAGCCUGUGGGAAUACUGCCAGCUGGGACUGUAGGACUGCGACGUAAGUCAAGG
RNAcentral lists this ribosomal RNA (611 nucleotides) under Saccharomyces cerevisiae (brewer's yeast). RNAcentral describes it as "28S ribosomal RNA". It matches the Rfam family "Eukaryotic large subunit ribosomal RNA", at positions 1 to 612 of the family's 3401-position model. The record is from RNAcentral. Lineage: Eukaryota; Fungi; Ascomycota; Saccharomycetes; Saccharomycetales; Saccharomycetaceae.